AGUGAACGCUGGCGGCGUGCCUAAUACAUGCAAGUCGAACGGAGUGGCGCACGGGUGAGUAAUAUAUAGCUAACUUGCCCAUUACUAAGGGACAACAGUUGGAAACGACUGCUAAUACCUUAUAGUAAUGGAUAGGGCUAUAUCGUAUCAGCUAGUUGGUAAGGUAACGGCUUACCAAGGCUAUGACGCGUAACUGGUCUGAGAGGAUGAUCAGUCACACUGGAACUGAGACACGGUCCAGACUCCUACGGGAGGCAGCAGUAGGGAAUAUUGCUCAAUGGGGGAAACCCUGAAGCAGCAACGCCGCGUGGAGGAUGACACUUUUCGGAGCGUAAACUCCUUUUCUUGGGAAAGCGGUACCCAAGGAAUAAGCACCGGCUAACUCCGUGCCAGCAGCCGCGGUAAUUC
This 408-nucleotide ribosomal RNA is filed under the name uncultured bacterium. RNAcentral describes it as "partial 16S ribosomal RNA". It matches the Rfam family "Bacterial small subunit ribosomal RNA", at positions 29 to 526 of the family's 1533-position model. The record is from RNAcentral.